This 308-nucleotide long non-coding RNA is filed under the name Elaeis guineensis (African oil palm). RNAcentral's name for it is "long non-coding RNA (EGUI_LNC051751)". Lineage: Eukaryota; Viridiplantae; Streptophyta; Magnoliopsida; Arecales; Arecaceae. The record is from RNAcentral.
ACUCCAGCCAGUCUAGUCCAAGCCAAGAAUUUGCCAUAACACUAGGCAACAUCAAAUUCUUAAAAAGAAAAAUGUUCCAAAUGUUCAAAAUUGAUGGUAGCUAAAAAUAGUAAAAAAGUGGCAAGGGAAAGGAAAAAUUGGCCAUAAUGAAAAUAAAUGGAGGGAUGGAAAAAAAGAAUCACAACACGGGAAGAGAUGGGAGGAAACAGAUGCUUAGAGAUGAAAAUAAAUGGAGAGACAAAAAGAUUGUGGUGCUGCUCCCAUUCAAGCUCUAGUCGAUCGAGGAGGAGGAGGUUUGAGGGGUUGAG